Candida albicans SC5314 is the source of this 64-nucleotide small nucleolar RNA. NCBI's taxonomy places the organism in Eukaryota, Fungi, Ascomycota, Pichiomycetes, Serinales, Debaryomycetaceae. The record is from RefSeq and is a predicted model, not a curated record.
GCAAAACUUGUCUACUGUAUAUUUGGGAUUGUUGAGUUAUAAUUUAAUGAGUAUUUGUAAAUCA